RNAcentral lists this ribosomal RNA (241 nucleotides) under uncultured bacterium. RNAcentral's name for it is "partial 16S ribosomal RNA". It matches the Rfam family "Bacterial small subunit ribosomal RNA", at positions 15 to 248 of the family's 1533-position model. The record is from RNAcentral.
GAUCAUGGCUAAGGAUGAACGCUAGCUACAGGCUUAACACAUGCAAGUCGAGGGGCAGCAUGAACUUAGCUUGCUAAGUUUGAUGGCGACCGGCGCACGGGUGAGUAACACGUAUCCAACCUGCCGAUGACUCGGGGAUGGCCUUUCGAAAGAAAGAUUAAUACCCGAUGGCAUAGUUCUUCCGCAUGGUAGAACUAUUAAAGAAUUUCGGUCAUCGAUGGGGAUGCGUUCCAUUAGGUUG